Molecule: long non-coding RNA, 3815 nt
Organism: Mirounga angustirostris (Northern elephant seal)
Lineage: Eukaryota; Metazoa; Chordata; Mammalia; Carnivora; Phocidae
Exons: 4
Source: RefSeq, a predicted model, not a curated record
UGGGAGAGCUUAAGAUACAACUCAAUUCCUGAGCUUCUAGUCAGUUAAUUAGCCCCUGAGACUCCCUGCCAAUCAUAUGUUCCAUAUGGACACAAAAGCCUUGGAAUGUUUAAACUCAUUUGAUGAUUUUCCCUUAACCUUUAGGGACAAUGAAGGUUAUUCUUAGAAGGAAGGAUUGUAGGGAGAGGAUACAGUUCCAGUCAUGGGUAACAAGGCUGAAGAAUUUUGCCCCUUUCUACUCCCCAUAUUACUCCUUGGGGCCCCCAUUCCACUCCAAGCAUUGUUGUUUGGUAGGCUCAGGUACUCGAAGGCAAUUCCCAAUUGAAUAAAAUGUUUCAUUCCAAAAUAAAAUAUUAUAGACUGAACAAGAACAGGAAAGCAGCCAGCAAAAGAACAGACAUAUAAAAACAAAAUAAAGAGCUCUAAAGGGAGAUGUGGUGGUGAUGAAAAGAGUAUAAAAAACUAAACCUUUCUUUUUUUUAACCUUGAAACUGAUCUCUUGAGCACCAUAUAUAAUUCUUCACUGGUUGAUCGGAGAAAGCAGUAGAGAUUUAGAAAAGAAUAGAGCUUCUUUAAUAGGCAUAGGGGAUUUAUUCUCCAUGUCACUUAGCACUAGCAAAGCAUCACAGAACAAAUAAGAGGAGAAGAGCCCAGAAAAGGCCAGAUUGCGGUUUUCAUGAGUAGUGGCAGGUUAUCCCUUAUAGGUCUCCCUGUCACUGAGUGGGAAAUUCCUCACCUUCACCACUGCGUGCACGUAUGGUACAUCCAUGCUCAUCCUCAAGUAUUUUCCUUUCACAGAAUCCUAUUUCAUUCAGCCGAGACCACUGGCUCAGCCUAAUGAACUGAGAGAACAGUAUCAAUGCUGGGACACACAUCACAAAUGCCUUUUCGACACAAUAGAGACCCUCUCAUUAGAAGCCAGUAACUUGUUUUCCUUAUCACAAAAAAAAGCCCAAAUAUAACUGAUAUUAAGGAUGAUUACAACAGCAGCAAUCUUCCCAAUGAAAAGUGGAAUAUCAGAACUCUUUAAUAGAACCACACAUGUUUUUAGGGUGCUCCCUAAGGUGCAGAGAGACCAAGAGGCUCUACAAGACCAAACAUCCAGUUGGAAGGAGAACCACAUCUGGAGCCUAUGUCUCCAUAAUGACCACGCCACUGCUCUUUCCAGUGCCAGAGAAUAUAUAGAAUUCCGGUGUGUGUCGCCACAGGAACAAGACUGGGCCUGCCUGCUGGAGGAUGAGAGGCACGUGGACAAGUCUCAGUCGUCCUGUCUAUCGCAGCUUUCCCAGCCAGGCUGGCUGGUGCCCCAGACAUUGAUCUCUCCCUACUUUCCAUCAGGAGCAAUUGCGUCUACAGAAUUCAAGGAAGCUAACAAGCAAGCAAAAGCGCGGUUUGCCCUCUCCUAGUGGAGCCCUGUAGCAGCCAUCUGGGGCAAUCAAUUAAGGUCUGCCUCCCCUAUGUUGUCUGGUCCUGGGAAACAUCCCCCACACAGGAAGAACUCAUUGGCGUAAGAGUAAUGAUAGCUCCCGCUUACUAACUAUCAUGUACGUUCUCCACUCAGUAGAGUCCCAUCUAACAAGUGGCUUAAGGCCAGGAUUCAAACCCAGGUAUCUGUCUCCCAUACUCCUCCCAGCGCCCCCUUGACUUCCCCACAGGCAGAAGGAAAAAGGAAGGAUGCGUGCAGAAAACGAAUAAUGGCAGCAGUCGCCAGCACUUACUGAGUGCAUGUUAUAUGCCAGGCACUGUGCUAACACUCUCCGCUCAUGAUAUUUAAAGCACACACUGAUUAUUUCCAUUUUCUAGAUAAGAGAAAUGAGGCUUGGCAAGAUUGAACAACUUUCCCAAGAUCACACAGCUGGGAAAGUCUGAGCAGGGUUUUGAACCUAGGCAAUCUGACUAGUGCCUUUAAGAACACCAUGCCUACUAAAUUUGUAGGGGGGCUCAGGAACCCCGAAGCUAGGGGCCCUAACAUGGCAUUGAUAGACCCAUUUUGGAGAUGGGCCCCUGGCCAUAUACCCUUGUUCAGUUUAUGAACAUUGGUAGUGCUAGGAAGAAAGCCAUCUACAUUUUAACCCUGAGGACACUUCUGCUGGAAAGAGAACUUAUAACCAGACUCCUUCAAAGGUUAAGUGCUGGGUUAAAUAGUCCCUUCCUUGUGACCUGAUCAGAGACAACUAUUCAUAUCAAUGUGAGAUGUUCACGGGAGAAACUAGGGCCACAAAAUUACUAGGCCAAAGUGGCUGAAAACACAAUGAAAUUGGCAGAGGUGAACUGGGAAGUAUUUCUCCGAGGGAGGCACUGAUCUGAAUGCAUCAUCUCCCGCGAUCACCUCUAUAAUUGAGGCCCUCCCAAGGAGCCAGUUAAGGCCAAUGAGAGCUCCCUUCAUUUCCAGGGAGAGGCUCCCAGCUUCCCCUCCAAGCACACACAGCCAGAGUCUUGUUUACCCAAGAAGAGCCGGCCGGAGGUAAAUCUGAAGUCCUGUAGUCUGAGAACUUGCCCAAAGAAAGAGAGGUGGCUCUUACAAGAAAUACAGCCCCUGAAGUUAUAAUCAAGAGAAAGCUGUUGAUGUUGAUACUGCUUCUUCGCAUCUCCAAAGGACAUGUGUUCACCUGCUUUUUGCCUACAUCUACCCAAUCAGUCUUUGCUAUUUGAGCAGCUCUUAUUUAUGAAUCAAGACACGAGGUUCAUUAUGAAAGGGGUAGAGAUAUCUAUUAGGAACAAGAUCCACCCUAUUUGAACUGGGGUUUCAUGGUUCACGUGAAAUGACAGUUAAGCCUAGAACCACAGCCCCAGGGAGACAAGGUGCCACCACUGGUCAACCACCACAGGCAGGGAGGAGGAGAAGGAUGAGUACGCCACCGUAACGCCUUCAAUAACGCAGAACACCAGCAUUUACCGUUUCAAUCACAGGAUGUUUAAGCCGACAGUGACGUUAGAAGCCAUCUCUUCCAAACCCCUGAGUUUACAAAUAGGGAGACUGAGCUUCUUAGAGAUGGGGAGUUCCUUCAAGACCAUUCAUCCAGAAAGGAGAUUCAGACCAGAACCCCAGGGCUCUAAUCCUCACCCAGUGUUCUUCUCAGCCCACCUCAUAGCCAGGCUCUAACCAUUCUAUAUUAGCUUUUCUAUUUGACAACAGUAACAUUUUUUAAUUUUCAUUUUUAGAAAGAAAAGGGAUUUCCCCUUUUGGUGCUAGGUUCAUGAAUUCCACUUACUUUUUGUGGGCGGACAUUUUCUUCUCCACUGCCUUUGUUGAUUCCUGAUAUACUCAAGCCAAAGUCAGCACUCUCCGCGUGAGAAUUAGUGACAGCCUCCUGAAGAAAGAGGAAGCCAGUGGGAAGUCAGCCAUGGAAAGCAAGUUACAGAGGCCGGUAGAAACUGCCAAUUCCAUCGUCCCAAAUCACACGCUGGAUAUCAGUUCAGUAGAUAGGAACCCCAUGUGCCACUUCUGUGCAGUCCCAACAAGAUGAGUUCGCUGGCUGCCUGCGCCACGUGGGAAGAGCUGUCGCUGGAAGCCAUGGGCUCCAAGGAGCUUUUCCAGUGGAGGAAACCAUGGUGCCUCAGCCCAAACCCACACUGGCUUUUCUCCUGUGACCAGAGGUGUUUGAUGCUGGGAGUGGCUGAGUUUGGAGAUGGAGCAGAGUCAAUAGUCAACCAGCCACCUGUGGAAUUCUCUUGCCCCACCUUCACCUCCCUUCCACCUGAGUCAGACUACACUGGCCAGAGGUAUACAACCUCUUUGAGAGUGCGAGAUUCCUUCUGACAAUUGAGUUUCAUGAUUACUCCUUUCUCUCCCACUGGGCAUCUCUGACAUCCAG